AACGAACGCUGGCGGCAGGCCUAACACAUGCAAGUCGAACGCACCGCAAGGUGAGUGGCGCACGGGUGAGUAACACGUGGGAAUGUACCCUUUGGUUCGGAAUAACGUUUGGAAACGAACGCUAAUACCGGAUGAGCCCUGCGGGGGAAAGAUUUAUCGCCAAAGGAGCAGCCCGCGUCUGAUUAGCUAGUUGGUGGGGUAAAGGCCUACCAAGGCGACGAUCAGUAGCUGGUCUGAGAGGAUGAUCAGCCACACUGGGACUGAGACACGGCCCAGACUCCUACGGAGGCAGCAGUGGGGAAUAUUGGACAAUGGGCGCAAGCCUGAUCCAGCCAUGCCGCGUGAGUGAUGAAGGCCUUCGGGUUGUAAAGCUCUUUCGCACGCGACGAUGAUGACGGUAGCGUGAGAAGAAGCCCCGGCUAACUUCGUGCCAGCAGCCGCGGUAAU
Molecule: ribosomal RNA, 447 nt
Filed under: uncultured bacterium
Lineage: Bacteria
Description: bacterial SSU rRNA
Rfam family: Bacterial small subunit ribosomal RNA
Source: RNAcentral